This 517-nucleotide ribosomal RNA is filed under the name Pseudomonas sp. PS6(2012). RNAcentral's name for it is "bacterial SSU rRNA". It matches the Rfam family "Bacterial small subunit ribosomal RNA", at positions 78 to 597 of the family's 1533-position model. The record is from RNAcentral. Lineage: Bacteria; Pseudomonadati; Pseudomonadota; Gammaproteobacteria; Pseudomonadales; Pseudomonadaceae.
CCCAAGCCAAACGCGAAGAACCUUACCAGGCCGCCUAGGAAUCUGCCUGGUAGUGGGGGACAACGUUUCGAAAGGAACGCUAAUACCGCAUACGUCCUACGGGAGAAAGCAGGGGACCUUCGGGCCUUGCGAAUAUCAGAUGAAGCCUAGGUCGGGAUUAGCUAGCUUGGUGAGGUAAUGGCUCACGCAAGGCGACGUCCGUAACUGGUCUGAGAGGAUGAUCAGUCACACUGGAACUGAGACACGGUCCAGACUCAAUACGGGAGGCAGCAGUGGGAAGAAUAUUGGACAAUGGGCGAAAGCCUGAUCCAGCCAUGCCGCGUGUGUGAAGAAGGUCUUGGAUGUAAAGCACUUUAUUGGGAGGAAGGGUUGUAGAUAAUACUCUGCAAUUUUGACGUUACCGACAGAAUAAGCACGGCUAACUCUGUGCCAGCAGCCGCGGUAAUACAGAGGGUGCAAGCGUUAAUCGGAAUUACUGGCGUAAAGCGCGGUAGGUGGUUUGUUAAGUUGGAUGUGA